GGCCAUGUGGUUUAAUGGAUAAGUUAACUGAUUCCAAAUGUAGAGGAUUGAGGGUUCAAGUCCCUUCAUGGUUG
This 74-nucleotide transfer RNA is filed under the name Loxodonta africana (African savanna elephant). It matches the Rfam family "tRNA". From Rfam's summary of the family: Transfer RNA (tRNA) molecules are approximately 80 nucleotides in length. The record is from Rfam by way of RNAcentral. Lineage: Eukaryota; Metazoa; Chordata; Mammalia; Proboscidea; Elephantidae.